Molecule: long non-coding RNA, 1579 nt
Filed under: Olea europaea subsp. europaea
Lineage: Eukaryota; Viridiplantae; Streptophyta; Magnoliopsida; Lamiales; Oleaceae
Source: RNAcentral
CAAAUCCUAAACCUCAUUUCUAAAAAAUCCAAUAGAAAAAUAAUCAUUUACAUGUUACAACUUGCACAUCAAUUUCUCACUUUGACAUCAGCCACAAAUUAUCUCAUCCCCUCAUGAAUCCUAUUAUUUAUUUACUCAGAAGCUCAAUUCAUGGUUUUCAAAAUUUCCCAUUUCAUAGCUUAUAAUAAACAUUAAACCCCUAGUUUAAAUUCAAAUCAACAAUUGCUUAAUGCCUGUUUUCAAGCUUGUACAAAAUUAAAAAUUUGAACCAACAAAAUCACACUAAUCUUAAAUCAAUCUACAUCACCAAUAAUUGUUUAUUUCAUGUAUAGACAUAACCAUACACGAAUUAACAAAGAAAAACCCGGAAGUCGUUGAUGAAUUCUUCCCCUUUGUCGACGUAGAAAUCGUUGAACUUUUCGAGUUCCUAAUUGAGAACCAGAUCUGCAGAGGCGACGUUUUGCAUCAUGAUCCGGCAGAUAAUUCAUGGCAGAAUCGCGGUGGCGAUAAUUAUUCCAUACGGUAGGGUUUCUUCCAAAUGUAUUCUGAAUUAUUUUCAAAAUUCCAUAGUUAUUUCAAUACAAUCCGAAUGUAUUAUCAUUUUUUUUUCCUGAUUAAUCAACUAUGUGCUUAGUGAUUACUGGUUCAAUACGCAUCGAUUAAAAACUACAAUAACAAAAGUUAAUCAUUUAAAUUCAGUUACAUCAAAUUUUUUCAUUGGUUUCCUAAUUGAAUAUUGUCAGUAUAAAUUAUUGGAAGUUCAACAAAUCAAAACUUUAGACCAUAUCCAGUGAAAUAAUAUGCAGAAUUGGUUCACAGGAUUCCUUCACGGAUUACAGUUGACAUCAAUUUAUUGGAAGUUCCAAAAAAAGAAAAAGAAAAAUGAGAGAGAAUCAAGCAAAUGUUGCCAAAUCAGCUUCAGUAUAACACCUGUGAAGGAGAAGUCUCUUUUUCCAAAAGAAAAAAGUAUGUAAAUUGGAUACAUCCUCUUAUCAAGAUGGAGUAUGACGGGUAAGAAUCCUCCGCCUUUUCUUUGUCAUUUAAGCAUUUUGGGUGAACUUUUUGAUGCAAUUCAUAGCCCUAUUGAAGGAUUCUUGUGCAAUAAGGGAAGAUUCCUCCCUUAGCAGAGUUGUAGAAUUUGAGGGAGUCAUCAUGCCAUUAGACAAAGACCGAUCGGAAGCCUAUCAGCUAGACCUACAUGUCAUAAGUCAAAUUUCUUAAUCGCUUUCGUGUCUGAAAAUGAUGGUCUAAGCAUAAGCAUGACAGUUUUACUCCAAAUAUGUUUGUGUAUUACUUAUUCUAAACGUAGAGUAGCUUACUAAAAAGUAGAUUGAGAAAAAUGGUGAUUACGUCCCAUGUUGCAUGUUAAACCUUAACUUUGAUUACUCGGUCUUUGUCAAUUUUAAAAAUAAAUUUUACACAAUAUAAUUGUAAUAAUUGAUUUCAAAGCAAAUAUCUUGUAAAAGUAACUUUCAUCUCCAAAAGAUUAUCGACUAAUAUAACAAUUUCUUAAAGUUGCUUAACUGAAGUAUGGAUCAUCUUCAUAGUAGUGCCUGCCUGGCAUUAGCUUCACUUGCUG